GAUGAAGAACGUAGCGAAAUGCGAUACUUGGUGUGAAUUGCAGAAUCCCGUGAACCAUCGAGUCUUUGAACGCAAGUUGCGCCUCAAGCCAUUAGGUUGAGGGCACGUCUGCCUGGGCGUCACAUAUCGUUGCCUGAUGCCAGUUUCCUCGUGAUGGGUGACUGUGCAGGGCGAAUGAUGGCUUCCCGUGAGCAUUGUUGCCUCAUGGUUGGUAGAAAAUUGAGUCCUUGGUAGGGAGCGCCGUGAUAGAUGGUGGUUGAGUGACGAACGAGACCCAAUCAUGUGAGACCCCUACCGAAUUUGGCCUUCAUGACCCACAUGCGUCUUUGGAACGCUCAUGACGAGACCUCAGGUCAGGCGGGGCUACCCGCUGAGUUUAAGCAUAUCAAUAAGCGGAGGA
This 400-nucleotide unclassified non-coding RNA is filed under the name soil metagenome. RNAcentral describes it as "partial contains 5.8S ribosomal RNA, internal transcribed spacer 2, and large subunit ribosomal RNA". The stretch from base 1 to 122 matches the Rfam family "5.8S ribosomal RNA", at positions 35 to 154 of the family's 154-position model. The record is from RNAcentral.